GAAUGAACAAACUGUAAGUUGCUCUGGAUAAGAGCGUCUGCUAAAUGACAAACA
Salmo salar (Atlantic salmon) is the source of this 54-nucleotide non-coding RNA. NCBI's taxonomy places the organism in Eukaryota, Metazoa, Chordata, Actinopteri, Salmoniformes, Salmonidae. The record is from Rfam.